RNAcentral lists this long non-coding RNA (298 nucleotides) under Elaeis guineensis (African oil palm). RNAcentral describes it as "long non-coding RNA (EGUI_LNC056778)". Lineage: Eukaryota; Viridiplantae; Streptophyta; Magnoliopsida; Arecales; Arecaceae. The record is from RNAcentral.
UCUUCAUUCAUCCACUUCUCAAAAGCAGCUCUCUGUUCAAUAGUAGGACGGUUUGGUAAUACAACGAAAUCCUGAUCGAGAACAUAGAUUAACUUUUCUGAGGUCAGGAUAAUCUUGAGAUUUCGAGCCAGUCUUUAUAAUUAUUAUCGAUCAAACGAUUGGUUUCAAGGAUGUAAGCUAGAGGGUUUGAGGCUGACAUAAUGGUUUAACUGUGAGAGUAGAGAUUCAAGUUAGACUUUUGUACUUAAUAUUUUAAUUUACUUCUAGAGACUUUAAGAUGCAAAUAAUGACUCCCACU